RNAcentral lists this ribosomal RNA (492 nucleotides) under uncultured bacterium. RNAcentral describes it as "partial 16S ribosomal RNA". It matches the Rfam family "Bacterial small subunit ribosomal RNA", at positions 29 to 507 of the family's 1533-position model. The record is from RNAcentral.
AGUGAGCGCUGGCGGUAGGCCUAACACAUGCAAGUCGAACGGCAGCACAGUAAGAGCUUGCUCUUACGGGUGGCGAGUGGCGGACGGGUGAGGAAUACAUCGGAAUCUACUUUUUCGUGGGGGAUAACGUAGGGAAACUUACGCUAAUACCGCAUACGACCUACGGGUGAAAGCAGGGGAUCUUCGGACCUUGCGCGAUUGAAUGAGCCGAUGUCGGAUUAGCUAGUUGGCGGGGUAAAGGCCCACCAAGGCGACGAUCCGUAGCUGGUCUGAGAGGAAGAUCAGCCACACUGGAACUGAGACACGGUCCAGACUCCUACGGGAGGCAGCAGUGGGGAAUAUUGGACAAUGGGCGCAAGCCUGAUCCAGCCAUACCGCGUGGGUGAAGAAGGCCUUCGGGUUGUAAAGCCCUUUUGUUGGGAAAGAAAAGCAGCAGGUUAAUACCCCGCUGUUCUGACGGUACCCAAAGAAUAAGCACCGGCUAACUUCGUG